GCCGGCGUAGCUCAACGGUAGAGCAACUCUCUUGUAAAGAGUAGGUUGUCGGUUCAAAUCCGUCCGCCGGCU
RNAcentral lists this transfer RNA (72 nucleotides) under Candidatus Moraniibacteriota bacterium. RNAcentral describes it as "tRNA-Thr". It matches the Rfam family "tRNA". Rfam says of the family: Transfer RNA (tRNA) molecules are approximately 80 nucleotides in length. Their secondary structure includes four short double-helical elements and three loops (D, anti-codon, and T loops). The record is from RNAcentral. Lineage: Bacteria; Candidatus Moraniibacteriota.